This 253-nucleotide ribosomal RNA is filed under the name uncultured bacterium. RNAcentral describes it as "partial 16S ribosomal RNA". It matches the Rfam family "Bacterial small subunit ribosomal RNA", at positions 1248 to 1500 of the family's 1533-position model. The record is from RNAcentral.
GGCGAAGCCGCGAGGCAGAGCGAACCCCAAAAAGACCGUCCCAGUUCGGAUCGCAGGCUGCAACCCGCCUGCGUGAAGUCGGAAUCGCUAGUAAUCGCGGAUCAGCAUGCCGCGGUGAAUACGUUCCCGGGCCUUGUACACACCGCCCGUCACACCAUGAGAGUCGGGAACACCCGAAGCCCGUAGCCUAACAGCAAUGAGGGCGCGGUCGAAGGUGGGUUCGAUAAUUGGGGUGAAGUCGUAACAAGGUACC